This 199-nucleotide long non-coding RNA is filed under the name Manihot esculenta (cassava). RNAcentral describes it as "long non-coding RNA (MESC_LNC002030)". The record is from RNAcentral. Lineage: Eukaryota; Viridiplantae; Streptophyta; Magnoliopsida; Malpighiales; Euphorbiaceae.
GAUAAUCCCUUUGUACAUGGACCCUGUUUUACGUUUCUUGAUGAGAAAUGUGUUGAACCAAGCCUGAUGUAUUAUGCUGACCCAUCUAGAUGUGGUUCUAUGUUUUUAGACAUAGUGCAUACAGGUCAAGCUUGGUAAAUGAAAGAAAAGUUUGACGUAAAAGAGUUUUACAGAUUUCAGUUUUAUGUUUAGAGCAGCU